This 467-nucleotide ribosomal RNA is filed under the name uncultured bacterium. RNAcentral describes it as "bacterial SSU rRNA". It matches the Rfam family "Bacterial small subunit ribosomal RNA", at positions 330 to 793 of the family's 1533-position model. The record is from RNAcentral.
UCCAGACUCCUACGGGAGGCAGCAGUGAGGAAUAUUGGUCAAUGGGCGAGAGCCUGAACCAGCCAAGUCGCGUGAGGAAGGACGGCCCUACGGGUUGUAAACCUCUUUUGCCGGGGGACAAACGGCGGCACGCGUGCCGUCCUGAGGGUACCCGGAGAAAAAGCAUCGGCUAACUCCGUGCCAGCAGCCGCGGUAAUACGGAGGAUGCGAGCGUUAUCCGGAUUUAUUGGGGUUAAAGGGUGCGUAGGCGGGCAUUUAAGCCGGCGGUCAAAUGUCGGGGCUCAACCCCGGCCUGCCGUCGGAACUGGGUGCCUUGAGUGGGCGAGAAGUAUGCGGAAUGCGUGGUGUAGCGGUGAAAUGCAUAGAUAUCACGCAGAACCCCGAUUGCGAAGGCAGCAUACCGGCGCCCUACUGACGCUGAGGCACGAAAGUGCGGGUAUCGAACAGGAUUAGAUACCCCGGUAACG